Molecule: long non-coding RNA, 1922 nt
Organism: Clupea harengus (Atlantic herring)
Lineage: Eukaryota; Metazoa; Chordata; Actinopteri; Clupeiformes; Clupeidae
Source: Ensembl
GGGGGGGGGGGGGGGGGGGGGUCACAAAUGAUUGCUUAACGUUGUUUUGCUGUAGGCCGUUUGUUGCCAUCUCUUGGACUACUUGAGAAAUGCACUCCACCUCAACCUCCCCCCCUCAACACACAUACCCCCAACUCCCAAACUGCAUAAGAGAAGCUGGCAACAGGAAAUCUCCUGUCGAAGUCCUAGUACCACUCAAUUAGGGAGAGUUUAUUAGCCAGUUGGUGGACUUGACAGUAUUAGCACGUUCGUUUUUUGUGUUAUGUGUACUGUAUGUAAGACGCUAAAGAGACGCUAGGCAUCUUUUUUGUUUGUUUGUUCAUUUUGCUUUACAAUUUUAAUUUUAAUUUUUUUUUCCUUUUCACAAUCAACUCUAAUGCAGUUGCCUUGCCCAGUAUGUUUGCUGGUUGGGUCUCAAUGGCAAGGCUGCUCCAUAGAUAAGAGCAGCUAAUAGACUUUGCUGUUAGGGAGCUAGCCUCUACCUUAGACAUCCACCACAUGGGAAUGCAGGGAGUGUGUCUCCUUCCCUGGUUGUGGAUACAGCCAGGCUCUGAUUCUCGAAUGUCCGCCUAGCACCUGGGACGACAGCUGCAACUUGCAUCAAUCAUGUAUCAGCAGCGUGUGUCAAUUUGGAAUUUAUUCUAGGAACAGAGAACCAUUAAAGAUCACAAUGACCUCAAGUGUUGAUGUAUUAUGUGUCAGACUUAAAGGUAACAUUGGAGGAGAGUUUGUCCAUUCUGAAAGAGUUCUUUGUGCGAGUUGGUUUCACACAGUUUUGUCCCAGUUAAACUUAACAUUCAUGAUGUUAUGAAUAUUACAGAACCAAUACAUGACAUCCGACUUAUAAUCACCUUAUGUAUGUGCUUGUAUAUCUAUGCAUAAGUGCACACACUGUCACAAGUAUAUAGGAAAUAUGGAUGGAUGUUUAAAAUGACUAAAAAAAGUUGAUGUCCAGAUAUGACGGACAAAGCAACUCAUGACCAAUGUUAUUGCUAUAUGAACGUUUGAGAAUCCAGACCCAGGGUCUUGUCUGAGGCUUGGAACUCACUGCUUGCUAUGGAUCUUCAGAGCAGUUAUCUAGGGAGCCACUUAGCUGUUGUCUCUAUAACCUGGUCUGCCCCAGACCCUGUGAGCAUCCGGAUCCUGCGUAGUUCCACCACAUAGUUAUCUGUUGUCUGAUAGGUUGUAACUGCUACCUACUGAGAGGAGUUCACUGGAGUGCAGGAUAACCCAUUGAAAUAGAAUAGAAAUAUGUCUACGAGCUAACCCAUCACAGUGCGUGUGACAGCCAGAGGCGAACCAGCAAAGAUAUUGGCAGGCCUAGCAUGGAGUGACAUGAAACCAAAGUCUGAUGUUGAGGAUGUUUUAAAGUGAUGUAUGAAAACCUCCGGGUAAACCAUUACUUCGGACCCAGCAACUACACUAUACCUUUGAUUUCACAGAGCAGUCUGAGAAGGAUUAGAAUUGCUUUCGAUUCUUUAGGUUAGAUGCAAUCUUUCUGCAGUUAGUGGGCGCAUGUGUGUGUGGUGUGUAUGUGUGCGUGUGACUACACGCGUUGUUGUGUGAUGUUUUCCAGUAAAACCCACUACUAAUUAGGAUCUGUUUUGUGAUAAUGAGUGCCUUAAAACCACGCGUGUGGGUGUAGUUAAGGGGAACCAUUCUCCUCUGCAAAUUAAACCCACAUUGGAAGCAGCAAAAAUAGAAGCAGAUUGAGUCACUGUUAAAGUAGAUCAGCCUUUUCUCACUUAUCUGUGUAUCUGUGUGCGCACGUGUGUGUGUGUGUGUGUCUGUCUGCGUAUGUGAGAUUUAGGACUAGAGCAAACCUAAACCAGUCUAACAUAAAUGACUGUCUUGUUAACUUUUUAUGAAAACUUUUGUCUUAUCUUGGGUAUGUAUGACAAAUAAAAAAAUAAUAUACCAGA